ACCCGCUGAACUUAAGCAUAUCAAUAAGCGGAGGAAAAGAAACCAACAGGGAUUACCUCAGUAACGGCGAGUGAAGCGGUAAGAGCUCAAAUUUUAAAUCUGCCUUUUAGGUCGAGUUGUAAUUUGUAGAGGAACGUUCGGUUGCAUCAAGGUCCGAGUCUUCUGGAAGGGAGCGCCGAUGAGGGUGAGAGCCCCGUACGACCGUCGAUAAGACCGGGUGAACGUCCUUCGAAGAGUCGAGUUGUUUGGGAAUGCAGCUCAAAGCGGGUGGUAAAUUCCAUCUAAAGCUAAAUAUUGGCCAGAGACCGAUAGCGCACAAGUAGAGUGAUCGAAAGAUGAAAAGCACUUUGGAAAGAGAGUGAAACAGUACGUGAAAUUGCUGAAAGGGAAGCGCUCGCGAUCAGACUUGAUAUUUCAGUUCAAGGGUUCUUCUGGACCUGGCACUUCUGUUGUAUCAGGCCAACAUCAGUUCGAGCGGUCGGAUAAAGGUUUAGGGAACGUGGCUCUUCGGAGUGUUAUAGCCCUUUUCGUAAUACGGCCAGUUCGGACUGAGGCAUGCCUUUUGUAGGAUGUUGGCGUAAUGGUUGCAAGCGGCCCGUCUUGAAACACGG
Molecule: ribosomal RNA, 611 nt
Filed under: uncultured fungus
Lineage: Eukaryota; Fungi
Description: eukaryotic LSU rRNA
Rfam family: Eukaryotic large subunit ribosomal RNA
Source: RNAcentral